Tetraodon nigroviridis (spotted green pufferfish) is the source of this 47-nucleotide non-coding RNA. The record is from Rfam. NCBI's taxonomy places the organism in Eukaryota, Metazoa, Chordata, Actinopteri, Tetraodontiformes, Tetraodontidae.
CCAAAGGCUCUUUUAAGAGCCACCACAGCUUCCACUAAAGACCACAU